RNAcentral lists this ribosomal RNA (314 nucleotides) under uncultured fungus. RNAcentral's name for it is "SSU rRNA". It matches the Rfam family "Eukaryotic small subunit ribosomal RNA", at positions 1344 to 1680 of the family's 1831-position model. Lineage: Eukaryota; Fungi. The record is from RNAcentral.
UAACCUGCUAAAUAGCCAGGCUAGCUUUGGCUGGUCGCCGGCUUCUUAGAGGGACUAUCGGCUCAAGCCGAUGGAAGUUUGAGGCAAUAACAGGUCUGUGAUGCCCUUAGAUGUUCUGGGCCGCACGCGCGCUACACUGACAGAGCCAGCGAGUUCAUCACCUUGGCCGAAAGGUCUGGGUAAUCUUGUUAAACUCUGUCGUGCUGGGGAUAGAGCUUUGCAAUUAUUGCUCUUCAACGAGGAAUGCCUAGUAAGCGCGUGUCAUCAGCACGCGUUGAUUACGUCCCUGCCCUUUGUACACACCGCCCGUCGCU